GACGAACGCUGGCGGCGUGCUUAACACAUGCAAGUCGAACGGAAAGGCCAUGCGUUUGCUGGGUGCUCGAGUGGCGAACGGGUGAGUAACACAUGAGUAACCUCCCCUUGACUUUGUGAUAAAUUCAGGAGACUGGGGCUAAUACCCGAUAGGAGCUACUGAUGCAUGGUGGUGGAUGGAAAGUUUCGGCGGUUGGGGAUGGACUCGCGGGUUAUCAGCUUGCUGGUGGGGUAGUGGCUUACCGAGGCUUUGACGGGUAGCCGGCCUGAGAGGGUGACCGGCCACAGUGGGACUGAGAGACGGCCCAGACUCCUACGGGAGGCAGCAGUGGGGAAUAUUGAACAAGGGGCGGAAGCCUGAUGCAGAAACGCCGCGUGCGGGAUGACGGCCUUCGGGGUGUAAACCGCUUUCGCCUGUGACGAAGCGUGAGUGACGGUAAUGGGUAAAGAAGCACCGGCUAACUACGUG
This 468-nucleotide ribosomal RNA is filed under the name uncultured bacterium. RNAcentral describes it as "partial 16S ribosomal RNA". It matches the Rfam family "Bacterial small subunit ribosomal RNA", at positions 28 to 507 of the family's 1533-position model. The record is from RNAcentral.